This 309-nucleotide long non-coding RNA is filed under the name Salvia miltiorrhiza (redroot sage). RNAcentral's name for it is "long non-coding RNA (SMIL_LNC013787)". The record is from RNAcentral. Lineage: Eukaryota; Viridiplantae; Streptophyta; Magnoliopsida; Lamiales; Lamiaceae.
UUUCAUUGUCCCAAGGAACAGUCUCUUCGCUUCCACCAUCGCGUGAGGGGGGUAAAACAGAGGCUCUGAUAUCCAAUGAUGAAAAUGCGGCGGAGGUUGUUUCGUGCGGGAAAAAUGUGCCUAAAAGGAAUGUGGGCGGCAAUGUCAGAGGAAGACCUGUUGGGCCGAAACAAAGGAGUCCCAGGUCAGGCCCAACCGAAGCCCAGUCCAGUAAAGAAGAUGAAGGCCCACAUCAUCUAGAGAGUGGCCCAGGAAAUCAGGAAGCAUUUUUGGCCCAGCCCUUUCUUGACUCUUGCGGUUUGGUCUCCC